UACGGAGGGGGCGAGCGUUGUCCGAAGUUACUGGGCGUAAAGCGCGUGUAGGCGGGUUGCCAAGUCCGCUGUGAAAGCCCGAGGCUCAACCUCGGAGGGUCGGUGGAUACUGGCAGUCUUGAAGGUGCUAGGGGGAGAUGGAAUUACCGGUGUAGCGGUGAAAUGCGUAGAGAUCGGUAGGAACACCAGUGGCGAAGGCGGUCUCCUGGGGCAUUCUUGACGCUGAGACGCGAAAGCUGGGGGAGCGAACAGG
Molecule: ribosomal RNA, 253 nt
Filed under: uncultured bacterium
Lineage: Bacteria
Description: partial 16S ribosomal RNA
Rfam family: Bacterial small subunit ribosomal RNA
Source: RNAcentral